UUCUGAGUUUUUCUCUCUAUGCCUGAACUCAUCCCUACGCCAACAUUAAAAAAAAAUCACCACCUCUCCACAUACCAUCCACUAUCUGAGAUGCCGAUCUGGAGUAACAUCUAAAGGUGUCUUAAUUCUGAAUUUGUGAAGUUCCAUUAUAGAUUGGGAUUGCAACCGCCUGCAGCAACCUAACUUCUCUAAGGUUGAAUUGAGUGAUCAUCUGAGUUGAAUCUUCAUAGAUCUAUUAAGGAGAUCUUUAUUAUUGGUAAGUAAAAUUUAUCUUUUUGAAUUUUUUUAAAUCUAAAUCUGAAUAGUGAAGUCUAAUCAAAAAAAAAAUUCUUAAUUACCUUCGAUCCUAGAUUCUUAAAAUUAAAGGGAC
Molecule: long non-coding RNA, 370 nt
Filed under: Elaeis guineensis (African oil palm)
Lineage: Eukaryota; Viridiplantae; Streptophyta; Magnoliopsida; Arecales; Arecaceae
Description: long non-coding RNA (EGUI_LNC032971)
Source: RNAcentral